RNAcentral lists this ribosomal RNA (429 nucleotides) under uncultured bacterium. RNAcentral's name for it is "bacterial SSU rRNA". It matches the Rfam family "Bacterial small subunit ribosomal RNA", at positions 355 to 775 of the family's 1533-position model. The record is from RNAcentral.
UGCGGAAUUUUAGAUAAUGGAGGGAACUCUGAUCUAGCGACGCCGCGUGCAGGAAGAAGGUCUUCGGAUUGUAAACUGCUGUGGUAAGGGAAAAAUGCUAUGUAGAGUGGAAAGCUACAUAGAGGGAUGGUACCUUACUAGAAAGCCCCGGCUAACUACGUGCCAGCAGCCGCGGUAAUACGUAGGGGGCGAGCGUUACCCGGAAUCACCGGGCGUAAGGGAGCGUAGGUGGCCUAACAUGUCAACUGUGAAAACCCGGAGCUCAACUCCGGACUUGCAGUUGAAACUGGUAGGCUUGAGGACGGUAGAGGAAGACGGAACUGCCAGCGUAGGGGUAAAAUCCUUAGAUAUUGGCAGGAACGCCGGUGACGAAGGUGGUUUUCUGGGCCGGUUCUGACACUGAUGCUCGAAAGCCAGGGGAGCGAACGG